AUCUAUGAUAUAAUUUAAAAGCAUAAUGAUAACAAGAGUAGAGGUUGAAUAUCAGAAGUUGUAAUUUUGACCACUGGGUAAGAAGAGAGGAUGGUCGAGGCUCAUAAUUGCUCCCUAGUUGGGGUUCCGUCAUCGCCUCCUAUAUUAAACACAUAGGAAGGAAAAAUGUUGUAGGGAAACUCAGUUCACAUUUAUCACCCCCUAAGAAGAGAAUAAUUUGUGGGUUGGCAUUAGGUCUCCUAAAUGCGUGUAGUCUUAGGAACCAGAGGGAAUUUUGUCUGCCACUUUGUACGGUUCCCCCUGAGCAAUGCAAUCACAUUCCUUUCUACUUUUCCCCGGUCCACCUUUUCCCCCUCAGUAAUUUGGUUCAUUCAGGAGCUAUAUUGUCAUUGACUCCCUACUUGCACCACCUUCUCCUCAUCAAAGUGGUGUGGAAGGGGCAGAGCAGAAGUUAAUUAUUCAAAAAUCUUGCUAGAAAUUCCAGGAGUGAAUUCAUCAGCAACAAUGCUAUGUAUAUUGGUUGUUCAUUGGCUCUGCCUACCUAUGGCUAUGUAAUCCUUCAAAAAUUACCCUGCAGAACCCCAAACAUGCAACACUUGCUCAUAGGAGCUACUACAGAAUCAGAAAGUAUGAGAGCAUUGGCUCCUCUCUCCUAGAGUUUAGGGACCAUGCAAUCAAUUUCUGCCCCAUAAAGGAGAGAGAAUAACAUGGCCCUCAGAUGCCAGAACACUAAAAGGAUGGGCAUGUCUCUCUGCCCUAUAUUUCAUUUUACUGUAAUCUCACAUAGCCUGAGGUUUUUCAAAGGAAACUAGUAGUUAGACACCCAAUUCCUAUUGUAUCUCAGUGGGGAUGGAGCAUCUAAUCUCUUGUAGGUUUCUUUGGAAAUGCCAGUUUUAAGUAAUAAUGGAGUAAGGAGGAAGUUACAAUAUUCCUGGCAAGUUAAAGCAUAUGCCACUUUGAAAGUUCAGAAAAGGCGGUGCAGUGGUUAGGAACUAGCCAAGCACUUGCAAGACCUAGGUUCAGUUCCCUAGUGUGCCACAGGCUUCCAGUGUGAACUUUGGGCAAAUCUCUUGGUCCCAUCUAUAAAAUGGGGAUAAUCAUACUUUCCUACCUCACAGGAGAAUUGUGAGACUAAAUACAUUAAGGAUUAUGAGAUGCUCACAUGUUAUGGUGAUGGGGCCAUAAAUAGCUUCAAAAAGUUGCUGAGUGCUUUGUUUGUGACUUGGCCUAUGCUUCAGUACUGCUUUUGCUCAGUGAGCUGAACAAAGGAGGGGGGUUACUAAUUCUAGUAUUAAAAACAAAACUAGAAUAACAUUUUUAUUGUCUCUUCCAUUUAAGAUUUUAUACCUUUCAAUGUCUCAUUUCACUGGCAUUCUUUUUGUCUCUACUAAAUAAAGGCAGUCUAGACAUGCUGCC
This 1416-nucleotide long non-coding RNA is filed under the name Chrysemys picta bellii (western painted turtle). Its description in RNAcentral is "lncRNA (ENSCPBG00000026625.1)". The record is from RNAcentral. Lineage: Eukaryota; Metazoa; Chordata; Testudines; Emydidae.